Molecule: ribosomal RNA, 440 nt
Filed under: uncultured bacterium
Lineage: Bacteria
Description: partial 16S ribosomal RNA
Rfam family: Bacterial small subunit ribosomal RNA
Source: RNAcentral
CCUACGGGUGGCAGCAGUGGGGAAUAUUGCACAAUGGGGGAAACCCUGAUGCAGCAACGCCGCGUGAGGGAAGAAGGUUUUAGGAUUGUAAAGUCCUAUUAGUAGGGAAGAUUAUGACGGUAUCUAACGAAUAAGCACCGGCUAACUACGUGCCAGCAGCCGCGGUAAUACGUAGGGGGCAAGCGUUACUCGGAAUCACUGGGGGGAAAGGGUGCGUAGACGGGGGAAUAAGUCAGAUGUGAAAUCCUGGAGCUUAACUACAGGACUGCAUUUGAAACUGUUCAGCUGGAGUGUGGGAGAGGUAAGUGGAAUUCUUGGUGUAGCGGUGAAAUGCGUAGAGAUUAAGAGGAAUACCAAUUGCGAAGGCGACUUGCUGGACUAUAACUGACGCUGAGGCACGAAAGCGUGGGGAGCAAACAGGAUUAGAUACCCUAGUAGUC